This 76-nucleotide transfer RNA is filed under the name Fimbriimonadaceae bacterium. RNAcentral's name for it is "tRNA-Gln". It matches the Rfam family "tRNA". Rfam says of the family: Transfer RNA (tRNA) molecules are approximately 80 nucleotides in length. Their secondary structure includes four short double-helical elements and three loops (D, anti-codon, and T loops). The record is from RNAcentral. Lineage: Bacteria; Bacillati; Armatimonadota; Fimbriimonadia; Fimbriimonadales; Fimbriimonadaceae.
UGCCCGAUAGCUCAAUUGGCAGAGCGCCUGACUCUGGAUCAGGAGGUUCCAGGUUCGAGACCUGGUCGGGCAGCCA